ACUGACAGGAUAAGAGAGGAGAGAGUGAGAGAGUCAAAGGGUUAAUAAAAGAACCAAACCAAAUGAGAUAGUGAGGACAAAAUAGGGACGAACAAUUUGGCCAUGAGUGGUUCUGUUUGGCAUGGAACAAACACGUGAAAUUUUAACGUGAGUUAAGUCGGCCAAAAGAGUGUUAAAUGGCUUGAAGACGGAGGUUGUUAUCUGCAUUCUUGGUUGGUAUCGAGUCUAUUUCAUUUUGAAUUAGCAACAAAAUCACAAGCAUGGGCUAGUCUUUGUCUCCCUUCUGCCAUGGACCAAUAAUUGAUUUUCCCUCUCUCUUUCUAACUCUCCAAAGGAGAAUGCAUAAAAAGCUCCCUCUAUAUAAUGCAGCAAACCUAUCUCUUUCCAUCCCAAGAUAACCUGAUCUUUAUUUCGGCAGAUAAAGUUAGGAAAUGAGAUCCUCACAUUUUAUUUUCUUUUGCCUUCUCUUUACUUUCUUCUAUCUUCGUUCAAUGGAUCUUUUGCAUUCUCCACCUCCACUUUUCACCUCCGAAGGAAGACAAGCAAGAAAGUACCUUGGUACAUCCUUUUCCCACGAGGUUCAUGAAGACGAGUUCAAUAGACCGUCUCCAAAAGAUACGUCCUCCAACACACCUGAAUAUGAAGCAAGUAUCAACAGCUUGGGUGAACUUGUAUACCACAUUGACUAUCAUGGAGUGACAACGCAUCCCAAUCCAACGCCAAAACAUCCAUAGCAAACAUAUCAACUUUUAAGAUGAAAUGAAUUAUUCAUACAUGUACUGCACUUCAAAUACUCUCUUUUGUUUUACAAUCUAUCAAAUGCUAAUUUUUUUCAUGCUA
Long non-coding RNA from Cucumis sativus (cucumber), 840 nucleotides. RefSeq lists it as uncharacterized. The transcript is spliced from 2 exons. The record is from RefSeq and is a predicted model, not a curated record. Lineage: Eukaryota; Viridiplantae; Streptophyta; Magnoliopsida; Cucurbitales; Cucurbitaceae.